This 1245-nucleotide ribosomal RNA is filed under the name Micrococcus sp. Pc172. RNAcentral describes it as "bacterial SSU rRNA". It matches the Rfam family "Bacterial small subunit ribosomal RNA", at positions 90 to 1347 of the family's 1533-position model. The record is from RNAcentral. Lineage: Bacteria; Bacillati; Actinomycetota; Actinomycetes; Micrococcales; Micrococcaceae.
GAUUAGUGGCGAACGGGUGAGUAACACGUGAGUAACCUGCCCUUAACUCUGGGAUAAGCCUGGGAAACUGGGUCUAAUACCGGAUAGGAGCGCCUACCGCAUGGUGGGUGUUGGAAAGAUUUAUCGGUUUUGGAUGGACUCGCGGCCUAUCAGCUUGUUGGUGAGGUAAUGGCUCACCAAGGCGACGACGGGUAGCCGGCCUGAGAGGGUGACCGGCCACACUGGGACUGAGACACGGCCCAGACUCCUACGGGAGGCAGCAGUGGGGAAUAUUGCACAAUGGGCGCAAGCCUGAUGCAGCGACGCCGCGUGAGGGAUGACGGCCUUCGGGUUGUAAACCUCUUUCAGUAGGGAAGAAGCGAAAGUGACGGUACCUGCAGAAGAAGCACCGGCUAACUACGUGCCAGCAGCCGCGGUAAUACGUAGGGUGCGAGCGUUAUCCGGAAUUAUUGGGCGUAAAGAGCUCGUAGGCGGUUUGUCGCGUCUGUCGUGAAAGUCCGGGGCUUAACCCCGGAUCUGCGGUGGGUACGGGCAGACUAGAGUGCAGUAGGGGAGACUGGAAUUCCUGGUGUAGCGGUGGAAUGCGCAGAUAUCAGGAGGAACACCGAUGGCGAAGGCAGGUCUCUGGGCUGUAACUGACGCUGAGGAGCGAAAGCAUGGGGAGCGAACAGGAUUAGAUACCCUGGUAGUCCAUGCCGUAAACGUUGGGCACUAGGUGUGGGGACCAUUCCACGGUUUCCGCGCCGCAGCUAACGCAUUAAGUGCCCCGCCUGGGGAGUACGGCCGCAAGGCUAAAACUCAAAGGAAUUGACGGGGGCCCGCACAAGCGGCGGAGCAUGCGGAUUAAUUCGAUGCAACGCGAAGAACCUUACCAAGGCUUGACAUGUUCUCGAUCGCCGUAGAGAUACGGUUUCCCCUUUGGGGCGGGUUCACAGGUGGUGCAUGGUUGUCGUCAGCUCGUGUCGUGAGAUGUUGGGUUAAGUCCCGCAACGAGCGCAACCCUCGUUCCAUGUUGCCAGCACGUCGUGGUGGGGACUCAUGGGAGACUGCCGGGGUCAACUCGGAGGAAGGUGAGGACGACGUCAAAUCAUCAUGCCCCUUAUGUCUUGGGCUUCACGCAUGCUACAAUGGCCGGUACAAUGGGUUGCGAUACUGUGAGGUGGAGCUAAUCCCAAAAAGCCGGUCUCAGUUCGGAUUGGGGUCUGCAACUCGACCCCAUGAAGUCGGAGUCGCUAGUAAUCGCAG